GUCCCCGCGGCCCGUCCCCCGGCGAGGAGCGAGUGCCGCGCCGCUCCGCCUUCUCCUUUUCGCAAUGUUGACGCAAUCUAUAAAUAGUGGAACAAAAGGAGCAACUUCCUCGCAGCUUUGCUGAAACUGCACAAAAAAGGCAACCGGGGGGGUGGGGGGGGGGCGUUAUUUUGAUUUGAUUUUUUGCCACCGCUUUCAAAAGCGAAGCCUCCUUCCCUCCCUUUCCCCCCCCCUCCCCCCCCCCCCCCCCCCCGCCCCCCUCCCCGCCUCUCUCUCUCGCUACUGGAAGAUUACAGAUCCGUGCGCGAUUAUUUUUUGAUUCCUCGUUGUCUGCUGCGCUGGCACCGUCCUGCGAGCGGCGGAGCGGCUCGGCGCCGGGCUUCCCCCGCUGACAAUUACGGAUGAAAUCCAUAUGCUGAUGGCUACCCUGUAAUGAAGGCUCAUGGAAGGACUGGUGCACCUCCUACAACAGAACAUGCGAGUCAGUAAAGGCUGUGAAGAAGCCCCUUCAGCCCUAAAAACUCACGUCAGCUGAAACAACCAGCAGAGAGGGAUGGCAGAAUAUUGAACUCGCAUCUAUUUUAAAAUAGCUCCUGCUUGGAGUGGGGCCUGAUGGAGACACCUAAUGGAGUUGUCUGUACACACAAUCCUCUGCUUAUAUUGAGACUUCCUCGGUGAUUUGCUCCCCAACAACAACUGAAGACAUAAGGGUAGAGAUGCACACGCAUGCAGUGGAUUAUGUUCAGCAUAGCUUCUUUGGAGGGAUGACCAGCUGUCCCAGCAUACUGUUGCAGUUAGGUUCCUUUUCCCUUUACAUUCAGAUUCUACAUCACCAAGGUGCUGGACCCUUUUAGCAGAGACUGUCCUGCUGUAUUACCAUAGGAGCAAACACUGGAAAGAAGUCCCAUCUCUGGCCUGCAAAACUACUUUGUGCUUACACAGAUAGCCCUGUUAAUUAAAGAGGGUGAUUUCAUCCUACGCUGGCUAGAAGACUCUUCACAGUGGAAAGAGGGGAAUCUUUCAUUGAGACAAUUGAAAUCGCUGCAGUGAGAAUGGAAAUUACUUGGGAUCCUUUCCUUUUAAAAGCUGUAUGCAAGAACUGUGUGGUGAGUCAAACUUGGACUAAUGGUUAUGUAAAUGUCACUAAUUUUAGAUACAGUCAAGAUCUGAAAGUGUUUCCUUUCAGAAUUACAUUUUCUUCACUGUCGUGACUCAGUAUCACUUGCUAAUCUUGUUUUAUUAGCCCUGUUAUAUAUUGCUAUUAAAACACUUAUUUGAAGACUGCAUAUGUCUUACAACUUUAAGUUUAUACAUCGUAUAGAAUCAUAGAAUCGCUGAAGUUGGAAAAGACCCACAGGAUCAUCCAGUCCAACCGUUUGCCCUUCACCAAUGGUUCCCGCUAAACCAUGUCCCUCAACACAACAUCCAAACGUUCUUUGAACACCUCCAGGGUCGGUGACUCCACCACCUCCCUGGGCAGUCCAUUCCAGUGCCUGACCACCCUUUCAGAGCAGUAGUAUUUCCUAAUGUCCAGCCUGAAUCUUCCCUGGUGCAGCUUGAAGCCAUCCCCUCUAGUCCUAUCACUAGUCACCCGAGAGAAGAGGCUGACCCCCAGCUCACUACAACCUCCCUUCAGGUAGUUACAGAGAGCAAUAAGGUCUCCCCUGAGCCUCCUCUUCUCCAGACUGAACAAUCCCAGCUCCUUCAGCCUCUCCUCAUAAGGCCUGUGCUCCAGACCCCUCACCAGCUUUGUUGCCCUCCUCUGGACACGCUCCAGGGCCUCGAUGUCUUUCUUACAGUGAGGGGCCUAAAACUGGACACAGUACUCGAGGUGCGGCCUCACCACUGCUGAGUACAGGGGGAUAAUUACUUCCCUGUUCCUGCUGGCCACACUAUUUCUGAUACAAGCCAGGAUGCCAUUGGCCUUCUUUAUAGAUGUUUUAAAUUGAGGGGAAAAAAAAGGUUAUCUGCACUGGGGAUUUCUUUUGACUCCGGAGAUCUGCUACUGGUGCGGUUGCACAGGUACAAACAUGAUAUAGAUGAAUAUGAAUGCAAGUUGUUAGAAUUCAUAGAUUUCCAUUGCUUUACCAUUUGGAAGUUCAGCCUGGUAUACGUACUGGUUAAAAAUCUUUUUUUUUUUCCUGCCCCUGCUAUGGAUUUGAAAUAAUAGAACAACGUUUGACUAAAACUUUCUAAUUUAGUUCAGACCUGAGCACUUCUCGAUAGUAAGGCUAUCCAGUAUUAAAUAGCCCACAGCUUUUCAUAAAGUAUCUGUGCUUCUGUGUGCCAUUUACCUACUAUGUGUCUCUUGAGAUGCACAGCCAAAAUGAGGUUGACUACUCCAAAAUGAUUAUCUGGCUCAGAGUUGGAUAACUUCUCUGUAACCGUGCACUGCUGCAGACUGUGGUGUUUGCAAAGGGCCAUCCAUGCUGUCGCUCUCGUGGAUCCAAUAUUUAAUAUCUCUGGGCUGUAUCUCUGAGGUUUCAGAGAGCAUAGAUGCAAAUCUAAAAAGCCAAUCGGAAAGAUCUGUUUGCAUGGUAUUGUUGUGUGAAUGGUGAAAUAGACUGCUUUUUUUCUGGUUCUCCAUGCAAACCCCUAUACUCCCGCAAGGCAAUGAGUGGGAAGCAGCAGCAAUAGGAGCUUGCACUGCUUUGUUUAGCAAUAAUGGCUUAGAACAGUUGAGCUGGGUGAUGAAAAUACAAUUUGAGUAUUUGCAGAACCAAGACUCAAACAAGGAAUGAAAAUUCCAGUCUGGACUGAAUGUCAAGAGUAUGAUUUCAAGUGAUUGUGAAGACCUAUCCAUGUUAUUUGGUUCCUAAACCUUUGAAAAGAAUGUCACCUUUUUUGCUCAGUUCAUAGUUGCCUUAAAUAUUAGCUAUUGUAUUUUCCAGAGAUAAGCCUGCAAGGAUGCACUGUCUCCAGUGGUGGAAUGGAACUCUCCUACAUUUGCAGCUCUGAGGUCCUAUGGAUUUUUCCUGAUUGAAGAAAGGAAGGUGUAUUAUUCAAUCCAAAUGCUUAUUUUUCUGUUGAUCUUAGGAACUGUGAGGGGAAGAAGAUGCUUAAUUCAUAAAUAAGGGAAAUAAAAGAAAGGCUUGCUUGCAAAUAUCUUGAGAUUGUUGCUAUUCGAGAGUGAAGAUAGUUGGUGAGAGGAGCAUGUCUGAAACGCCUGUGCUGAAAGAUUGGAGCUGCAAACUGGUAGGGGAAAGAGAUGUGAAACUGGAAAGUUCAAAGGACUGGUACAGGUUGGGCAAUGAUUUUAGGGAUUUAUUUGUUUCUUGAAGAUGGAAGAAGCAGCAGCUUAACAGGAGGAACCCUGCCUGAUUCUGCAAAGAGAAGGUCAGGCUUGGGGAAAGCAGAUCAACCUUAAGGUUUAUUAGAAUGCUUAGCACUGGAGUCAGGCUGUUACAUAGUAGUUUUUGAUAUGAAAUCACUGUCACUUUCAUUUCUCGUCCAAUUCCAUGCAGAAAAGGGCAACUUUAUUACUGCAGUCUGCUACUUUGUGAAAUUUUGCCCUGAAAAGGCCUCCCAAAAAUUAGAUAGUAGUUGAUGGGCCUCUAGAGAUCAUCUAGCCUAAGCAGGAUCAGGCAGAACAGGCCUCUCAGGGCUGUAUCUGAUCUUAAUCUGCCCCCCUGUGUUAGUCUACUAUGAAGCAAUCCACGUGAUCAUAUGGAAUAUUCAAUGAUAGGACCAGCAUGGUGAGCUGCUGAGUCAGGAAAGAUGUUUGUAGGCUGUGCAAGGAGGAAGCCCAACGCUGUUACAGGUGCUGUAGAAAUAGGUUGAAAAUUCUGUAGGGAAUGGACCAAAGCCUACAAGCAGAGGAAGCUGUGUCUUCAUGGUGACAUGAGACAAGAAUUCCUAGGAAUUGGAUGUUAUAUUUAUUUUUCUGUCUUUAUUUUUGUAUGAUGCUGUACAAGUUACUAGGCCAUUGAUUUUUGUAGUGUUUAUGUUUCUCACUUCACAGGUGACUUUAAGCCAUUGUGUCCAGUGGAAACACUAGAUGUUCACAUUUGCAGCUGGUUUGCUUAAGAAUUGUAAACAUGAAUUCAAACUUGAUGGAAUGUGAUGUCCGUCUGGAGUUUCCUACAUAUUUCAAGUGGGAUACAUCUAACUGUUGGGUACUACUGUAGUUUCUAUAUCUUCGUGUCACAUUUAAAGUAGGGCUGAUAGUCACUUGAAGGGAUGUUUUUCUAUUUUUGCUUGUUUCAAGCUUUGUUUAGUAGAUGUGCUACAGGGAUGUGCUUCCUCGUGGGAUUUUCUAUGGCAUUUAUGACUUCAGAUCACAGAGGAAGAGUAGAAGAAUAUCUAUACAUAAAACUAACACAAAAAUGCUCACACACACAUGGAUUCUUAGUGUAUGGAAACGGCUGUGGCACCUUUCCUACCAUCAAGUUGCUAUGUGUACAACGAGCUGGUUACUUCCAGUUGGUGUUUUCAUGUGCGUCAGGACAUCAGAAGCCUUUUUCUACCCAAACAAACAAAAAAACCAACCCUAAAAUACUGGAAAACUAAAGGACAUGUAUUAGGUAUUAACAGUUCAUAAAGGAAACCAAAAACUUGCCUUGUAAUUGUCACUGUAUAUCCAUGUGGCAAUGGGAUAAUAGAUACUAUAUGCAUAUAUAUAGUAUAUGCAAGCAGUUACUGCCUAGUACUGUAUGGUGUAUCCUUGCUGAAAAGGUACUGUUCAUGGUGGAAGUGGGUGACCUGUGAAGAGUUCCCAGAAUAAUGGGUGACUUAAGGAAAUUCGUCAAGAAUAAUUCUGUCUCAAAGGCACUUCUACCCUGCAUUAAGCAAC
This 4792-nucleotide long non-coding RNA is filed under the name Gallus gallus (chicken). RNAcentral describes it as "lncRNA (ENSGALG00010004476.1)". The record is from RNAcentral. Lineage: Eukaryota; Metazoa; Chordata; Aves; Galliformes; Phasianidae.